UGGGGAGUCGUCUAACGGUAGGACACCGGGUUUUGGUCUCGGCGGUUGGGGUUCGAGUCCCUACUCCCCAGCAA
This 74-nucleotide transfer RNA is filed under the name Fidelibacterota bacterium. RNAcentral describes it as "tRNA-Gln". It matches the Rfam family "tRNA". From Rfam's summary of the family: Transfer RNA (tRNA) molecules are approximately 80 nucleotides in length. Their secondary structure includes four short double-helical elements and three loops (D, anti-codon, and T loops). Further hydrogen bonds mediate the characteristic L-shaped molecular structure. tRNAs have two regions of fundamental functional importance: the anti-codon, which is responsible for specific mRNA codon recognition, and the 3' end, to which the tRNAs corresponding amino acid is attached (by aminoacyl-tRNA synthetases). tRNAs cope with the degeneracy of the genetic code in two manners: having more than one tRNA (with a specific anti-codon) for a particular amino acid; and 'wobble' base-pairing, i.e. permitting non-standard base-pairing at the 3rd anti-codon position. The record is from RNAcentral. Lineage: Bacteria; Pseudomonadati; Fidelibacterota.